Long non-coding RNA from Diceros bicornis minor, 1207 nucleotides. RefSeq lists it as uncharacterized. Lineage: Eukaryota; Metazoa; Chordata; Mammalia; Perissodactyla; Rhinocerotidae. The record is from RefSeq and is a predicted model, not a curated record. The transcript is spliced from 3 exons.
UAUUUUUUGUGUCGCAGAACAAUGCUGUAGAUUCCGUGACUAGUUUGAGGGCGCAACUCCGGCCAUUUUAGAUUUCCACCCUUAUGAAGUGUAACUACGGAGUUCAAGAGACCGCUUUGUCUGUCUGUCUAUCUGUCUCUAUUUAUUUAUUUGUUUUGGGAAGCUGUCACGUAGUUCUGGCUAUUUUUAUUAGAAUUUUUUUUAAACUGUGGAAUAUUUUAUGUUUCCUGGAGAAAUGAGAACAAGUGAAUAUAUACAUACAGACUUCAUUAGUAAUAAUUGGUUUGGAUUAAAUGGUAACUACUCUUGGACACAACCAAAUAGCCACCUGUCUCAAACAAGUGAGACCAGAUUCUGCUCUAGCAGAAACCAGCUAGAGGAGCCUCAACAGGUAUGGCUUAAAAAGAGAGAGAGGGUUAUUUCCUUUGUUCCUUCCCAAGGGGAGUGGUUUCAAAAAGAAGGAGUUGGGUGACAGAGCCCAGGUCCUUUUCAUUACAAAUAGUUUGUGGAUAUUAUUUUACAUAAGAUUUCUGUUUUUCAGGAUUCUUUGAAAAAAUUUGGCAGCAGCAUAGCUAGGUAUUAUUUAUUUUUGCCUUCAGGAGCCUCAGAGCAGGGGGAAGAGAGGAGCAGCAGCUGUAGAUUCCGCCCCAUUGUCUGCAGCUGGGAUGGUUUUAUUGUCUGUUUCUUUCGGUGGGUGUGGGCAAGCUAUUCCAUAGAUUUCCCUGAGUUUUCUUUCCUCUUAUCUUCAUAUAGAAUGUUCUAUUUCUGCACCUAUAUUCUUUUAUUGCUUUGUACACAGGUCACCUUUGGCAUCCAUCACAUCGUGUUCCAGUUAUCUGUUUAUACAGAGAAGCCUAACUACUGCCUCCUGUACCAUGGAAGUUACAAAGGAGAGAAUUCUCCAUCCUUAAUUACGUUCCCCCAGUUCCUCUGCCUCCUGACCAACGCUGGUGCCUCCCCGUGUGGACCUCCGUGGCCCCCCCUUCUUGGGAACUAAGCAUUAAGAAAAGAGUGAUUUGGAGGAAACCAAACACUGCCCUACAGCUAUUGUCUGAGAAGUACUAAAAGGAGAAAGAGUAAAUGGUGACCGUGAGCAGCAUAGAAGAAAGGAAAACAAACUGGGGCUCUCCUGCCUCUUCCAGGAACCAAAAAGAGUGCAGAAGACUAAUCUGGGCUUGAAACCAUGUGGCCUUGGAAAUUAACAGUA